AACGAUAGAGGUGUCCAGGCAGGGCCUCGAUAAAUUCAGCCAGUAUCUGUCCUGAUCUCGUAGACUGCAGUAGAGCUUUCUGUCCUAGAUCUCUCAGUCCCUUUUGAGAACAAGACGUGACAACAUUUGGCUCGAUUUUGACUUAGUAUUUUCUGGGCGUCGAUCGAGGCAAGAUGGAAUCUCUCCAGCUGACUUUAGGCCUAGUGAUCUUGAGUUUCUGGUGUGUGACUGCAAGCCCCACCCCAAACGGAACGGUACCACCUUUCACCAUUCAACCAAGAUGGAACUCCGAGACUCUGGUGGCCAACUUCAGUGUACCACCUUUCACCAUUCAACCAAGAUGGAACUCCAAGCCUCUGGUGGGCCGCUUCAGUGUUGCCAGACAAGGUAAUGUCCUAAAUAGCCAUAUAGUGGGGU
Long non-coding RNA from Macrobrachium nipponense, 417 nucleotides. RefSeq lists it as uncharacterized. The transcript has 3 exons. NCBI's taxonomy places the organism in Eukaryota, Metazoa, Arthropoda, Malacostraca, Decapoda, Palaemonidae. The record is from RefSeq and is a predicted model, not a curated record.